Molecule: small nuclear RNA, 107 nt
Filed under: Ursus thibetanus thibetanus
Lineage: Eukaryota; Metazoa; Chordata; Mammalia; Carnivora; Ursidae
Source: RNAcentral
GUGCUUGCUUUGGCAGCACAUAUUCUAAAAUUGGAAAAAUACAGAGAAGAUUAGCAUGGCCCCUGUGCAAGGAUGACACACAAAUUCAUGAAGCAUUCUGUAUUUUU